Molecule: RNA transcript, 3757 nt
Organism: Scylla paramamosain (green mud crab)
Lineage: Eukaryota; Metazoa; Arthropoda; Malacostraca; Decapoda; Portunidae
Gene name: cystine/glutamate transporter-like
Exons: 5
Source: RefSeq, a predicted model, not a curated record
GGUAGUAAUGCCCCACUCACCAGCUUAAUGAUGUUGACAGGUUGUGCUUUGUGGGUGCAAGACAAGGCCACUUCCCAGACAACCUUGCUCUCAUCAACUGCAAAUGCAACACUCCAAUGUCUUCUCUCAUCUUCCUGGGCCUGUUGUCACUGGUCUACCUCUCCACCAUGGACAUCUACCGCCUCAUUGACUACGCCAGCUUUGUAGAGAGUUAAUUCAUCCUGUGCAGUAUCGCCAUUCUGCUGUACAUGUGCUGGAAAUACCCUGACAUGGAGCGGCCCAUCAAGACCAACUCACUGUUUGGACACAGUUGCUCUUCGUAUCUGUGAAAACUGAGUGAGGAGUGACUGACUGCACCUCCUCUACCAUUACUACCAUCACUGCUGCUGCUACUGCUGCUGCUGCUGCUGCUGCUGCCCUACCACAGCUGCCAAGAAAUGCACUUGUGUGUGUGUGUGUGUGUGUGUGUGUGUGUGUGUGUGUGUGUGUCAUCAUAUCAUACAGCCUUCACAUAUUUUAUCCACUUGGUUAUGGUUCUGUGCAUCAUGGCAAAUCACACUGCUGGUAGACAAUGGAUAUCUGAAAUGUUCCCUACUUUAAUCCCCUCUGAACUGCUGUUACUGCUGCUGCUGCUGGAUCCUUGGUGAUCUGUUUGUAUUUUUGCUCAAGUGGCUUGUGUGUGUGUGUGUGUGUGUGUGUACUGAUGGACCUUGGGAGGGCAGCUGGAUGGUGUGAACUGUUGUCAGUGAUGACAACAUGCACACACACAUGUGGCAAAAGCAACACAGCAGCAGAUUUGUCAGCCUGGAUAUGCUCUUUGUAAUCUGUGAUACUUUUCAGAAGGGGAAUAUUGAAGGUUUUAUACAUUAUUUAUUAGUUAUUGUAUUUUGGUCAUAGGCUGAUUUUGCACCACUUUAGCUGAUAAUUUGAAAUUGGUUCUGAACCCAAGAAAUACUUGAAGGUGCAAUUUUCAGAUAAAUUAAAUAGUAUUCCAAUUGUACAUAGAGAUAACAGAAAGUAAGUGAGAGUAUUACAUAACUGUUUUUGGUAUUUUGAUUUUUAGGUUUUCACCAAGAGGGUUGUUAGUCCUGGUCUUUGCUUACUGCCUGUCUGGACCUCACAGUGGUGAUGGGAAGCCUCAAGCGUGUGACUGUCUGGCAGCUGUGUGGGCCAUUCUGGAUGAGUAUGUGCUGGAUAGAUGUUAACUGGCACCACAUGAGCUUAUUUGUUGGCAGAUCCAGAUGUUGGGAGUACCACAGUUGCUGAGACAAUGAGGCAGUCCUGUUAGGGAAGUUUAGUGACUGAACACUGAAGGUUGACCAAACUCCUCUUGGGCUACAGCUAUCAUUGUACUCAUAGCUCAAUGGGUAAAGAGUUGUGUACCUUGAAUGUUUUGAUGGGAAUCCUAGUGCUAUUCCCCUUAUGCCUUGCUCAGCAGGUGUCUGUGAGACCUGUGGAUGGUGGUGUUAUCACAGUCAAAAAUGUUUUAUUGUCCCACACUUUUUCCCAUUGUCUUCAACAUUUUCCCUUAGUAUCAAGUCCAAUAAUCCACAGACUCUCCUCACAAAUAUAACAGGUGACAGAUGCUAAGGAGGUGACAGGACUUCAGAUUGAGGGAAAUGCUAAACACUGGGAGUGAGUGUGGCAAAUUACAUGACCUCUGACCAGACUAGACCAACAGGAUAAAUGAACAUGGCCUAACUCCAGGCUGUGCUGUGUUGAGGCAGUCCUGGGGUGAGGUGACAGCUGGUGUGACACUCAUAGUCACUGGAGCAGCCAAGAAGCCUCACGACAAUUAUAAAUUGAUUAGCUUUGGCACAAGCCUUUGUUAUCAGCUAGGCUUGCCUCCUUCACAAUGCUCCUGUCUUCCCCUCUGGUGGUCAGCCACUGCCUGCACCUCUGCCUUGUAGGGAAUUUACCUCCUGCUCAUGAGUGACACGAUGAAGAAAAGGAAAUAAAUGUACAUCUUUUCAUCUCUGCAUGGGACAAAUGAGGGCUGUGUGUGUGUAUUUCAUAAUUUAUCUUAUUUUUUUUCUGGGGAUUUAUGGUGCUGAAAGACAAGAAAAUUCAUGCAUACAUUAUGAUCACUCAUUAUUAAUCUUUUUAUUUUAUUAUCCUUUUCAUUAUCAUCAAGACCGUGCUGGGCUUUAAUUAAUGUGUGUGUGUGUGUAAUUAUAGAUAUGUAGUUGUAUUCAUGUCCGGUGGCAAAUCAGAUAUAUUUUGCUUAUUGGUGAGAGAGAGAGAGAGAGAGAGAGUAGUUUUGGCCCAACAGUGAGUAAUGAUGAUGUGUAAAGCAUAUUCUUCUAGGAGCAAAUGAGGCAAUGUGUCCGCCAGGCAUCAACAUGUCACUUCAUUGUUACCAUGUUUUUAAGCAUGAAAUAAAUGUGCCUUUUUUACAGCUAGCUUGUUUGAUUGUCAUCAAGUGUGUGUGUGUGUGUGUGUGUCAUGCGAAUCUUUCUGGACUAGCCGUCCCAGCUAUUCUCUCUGUAGAGUUUAGAGAUCAUGAUUAUGGUUUAAAUACAAGGAAGCUACAGACUUGAGCUUCCUUGAGAUGAGUAAGUUGAGACCUGUCACGCAGCACGUUCCAUUGGCUCACGGCUGAGAGGAUGAGGAUUCGACUCCCGGGCCGAGAGGAGAGGAGCUGUGGGAUUUGUCUCCCUCCCUUGCUGGAGUGCAGACCCCCUACUAAGAUGCCUCUAUUCAUGGGGGAUCCAUCUAAAGUUGUGAUCCAAGGCAUUCUGUGUAGCAUGGUGCAGUGUGACCCACCAGGGAUCCAUGGUUUGGUGGAGGUCAAGAAUUCUACCCAUCGUCUACAUUCCUUGGUUGAGGUGGUUCCUCGUGAACAUGGCGGGUAUCGUGAAUCAUUAUUUCUGCUGUUUCUGUCGUAUGAGUUAAAAUAUUUGUCUAGCGAUGUCAAAGGAUGGCCAAACAUAAAACAAGCGGUGGUUGGUAAUAUUCAAGAACAGCAGGCGAGGAUUGAAAACCGUAGUGAACUGGUGAAAUGAGCGAAGCUAGGAGGUUGUGCACAUGUUCAUUAUAAUGUUGCUUUACCUCAGAUGAUAAAAUACCCAUCAUGGUGUAUAUAUAUUAAAACCAAUGCAGUCCAAACAUGAAUAAUCCGAAUCCAAAGUUGGAACGAAGCCGGAUUCCGGACGGACACCACGAUAGCUGUCUCGUGUGCGCACUGCGCAGUGUACUUGGUCGUGAGGAGUGACAUCAAUGCUUGUCUUUCUCGCCUGAGUCGUUGACGUGCAAGGACGUCUCGUUGUUCUUCUCCUGUGACCAGAGGUGUACUCUGUCGUUAAGGCCGUGGGUGGUGCACAUGUGCCGGACAGCCAGCUGAUGGGCGCCAGACUGUAAUGGUGAUCAGCCGGCUGCUACUGCCACCAGAGCCGGUGAGGCCAUGAACUGCUCCUCUCUGCCGCCUCCAGAUGGACCAUCUGCCCUUCGACCACAUCUGAAGAGACAACUAGUGGGCCGUGUGUGGUGAACCCGUUUUGUCUGUCAGAGCCACCCCUACAGCCACACACCACCACCACCACCACAACUAGCAGGAGAGGGCAUCCACCACCUCCUCCUCCAGCAGCUGGCCAGGGCACAGGACCAGGCUGAGCAAGGUGGUGAUGCAGAGGGUGGCCAGCUUGCCCGCCCCCUCCUGUUGGCCAGCCACAGCACAGCACACAGCUGCAGUCUGUUGCGGCCAGGCUACUGAGGCACAAGUCUAUGCACGCGUCCGGGACAUGAAGGUGACGAGAAC